AAACUUUUAGUUCAUUCUUUUAACGAAAAACCAGAUAAGGUGGACAAGAAAGACGGUCACCAGCCACCACAAAAACAAAGAAAUCCAAUCCAACAAAUGGAAAGAGAAUAAUUUCAUAAACUCUGCUAAGUAAACAUCUAAGCUCCACAGUGAAGAAUAAGAAAGAAUGGGGAGUCUCCAAUUCAACUCUACUUGUUACUACAGCUGCUACAACAGUAGAACUACUAGUACUACAUUCAGUGCUUUUUCCGCUAAGAACAUCAUCAAACUGAAUGGCUGCUGCAGCUUCAGUAGCACUGCUAGAGCAGGUCCAAGCAGAAGAAGGAUAAGGCCAGCAGCAGUCUUAACUAACCCUGAUCAGCAGGAGAGCACCCCAGUAGAGCAGGAUACAGAAGAAGAUGAUGACGGACCACCUUCUGUGAUCAUAGCAUUCGUCCAUGUGAGUGUUGAAUUUCAUUUUCAUUAUUUAUAACCUUGCAUUUUGCUUAAUACAUAUAUAUAUGAACAUGCUUGCAGUCAGUGUUGCUGCCGGAUGGAACACC
Molecule: long non-coding RNA, 542 nt
Filed under: Linum usitatissimum (flax)
Lineage: Eukaryota; Viridiplantae; Streptophyta; Magnoliopsida; Malpighiales; Linaceae
Description: long non-coding RNA (LUSI_LNC001902)
Source: RNAcentral